GCAAUAAUCUAGCCCAACUAAAAAUAAAUAAAACUUAACAAACAAAAUUAUCCUACUAAAAUCAACCAAAACAUUUUUCACCAUCUUAGUAUGGGCGAUAGAAAAGAU
Molecule: ribosomal RNA, 108 nt
Filed under: Geoemyda spengleri
Lineage: Eukaryota; Metazoa; Chordata; Testudines; Geoemydidae
Description: partial 16S ribosomal RNA
Source: RNAcentral